RNAcentral lists this ribosomal RNA (191 nucleotides) under uncultured rumen bacterium. RNAcentral's name for it is "partial 16S ribosomal RNA". It matches the Rfam family "Bacterial small subunit ribosomal RNA", at positions 338 to 525 of the family's 1533-position model. The record is from RNAcentral.
CCUACGGGAGGCAGCAGUGAGGAAUAUUGGUCAAUGGGCGAGAGCCUGAACCAGCCAAGUAGCGUGCAGGAUGACGGCCCUAUGGGUUGUAAACUGCUUUUAUACAGGGAUAAAGUCGGGGACGUGUUCCCCGUUUGCAGGUACUGUAUGAAUAAGGACCGGCUAAUUCCGUGCCAGCAGCCGCGGUAAUA